This 278-nucleotide RNase P RNA is filed under the name Nitrosopumilales archaeon. Its description in RNAcentral is "RNaseP_arch". It matches the Rfam family "Archaeal RNase P". From Rfam's summary of the family: Ribonuclease P (RNase P) is a ubiquitous endoribonuclease, found in archaea, bacteria and eukarya as well as chloroplasts and mitochondria. The record is from RNAcentral. Lineage: Archaea; Thermoproteati; Nitrososphaerota; Nitrososphaeria; Nitrosopumilales.
GCGAGCUGGAGCACGAGACACUGUCAAGGCAGAGGAAACUCCUCCCUCCAUACGGGAAUGUGAUUCGGCGAUGAAUAAUCAGAGAUGAUUGGCAACAGUACAGAAAAAAAUCCAAUCUGGAGUACAAUGAUGGCAAAACCUGAGAUUUCCAGUCAAGGAAUGAAAAAUCUGACCCACAUGGAGCAAAGCCAAACAGAACCCUAGGAUCCUGUACCAGGUUCAGGUAGGCUGCAAAGCGAAAUAUCGUGAAAACAGAAGGAGGGUUACUACCAGCACGC